This 2803-nucleotide ribosomal RNA is filed under the name Lueheia aztecae. RNAcentral describes it as "partial large subunit ribosomal RNA". It matches the Rfam family "Eukaryotic large subunit ribosomal RNA", at positions 368 to 2832 of the family's 3401-position model. Lineage: Eukaryota; Metazoa; Acanthocephala; Palaeacanthocephala; Polymorphida; Plagiorhynchidae. The record is from RNAcentral.
AAAGUACUCUGAAAAGAGAGUUCACAAGUGCGUGAUACUGCACACUGCAAAGCGAAUGGCUGUGCAUUUCCGGAUGCAAUCUGUGUUUGUCCGCUCGUUUGGCUCAUCGUUGGCACAGGGACCGCAUUCGCUCUCUCUGUAUAAGGGCCACUGCCACCGGGCCUUACGAAGCGCCGUACAUAAGAUUGCAACGUUUGCUGCUGUGUGGGAGGGCGCGAAAUAUAACGUUGCUGGUGGAGAGCUCUUUACUGUUGAUCUCCGAUGCUGGCGACGGCAUUGAUUGAAUUUUUGUCGGAUGACGGAAUGCCUCUUUCAUCGUGCCCACCCUGUUCAGGCAGGUUCGGCGGAAUUUCUGAUGGUUCGUCGCUUUCCCGACUAGUGUGUUUUUGCCUGUGUGCAUGGCGCUGCGGGAAAUGCGGCAACGUCGUUACUAGCCGAGCCAGUCUCGUAAAGCAGUUGCGAAGACGCGCAGCGUUCGAACCGUCUUGAAACACGGACUAAGGAGUUCAACUUGAGCGCGAGUCGUUUUUCAUUGGAUGUUUGAAGGCGAAGUGAAAUCGACUCGUUCGUAAUCAGAGAUGUUAACUGAUCGGAAAGAGAAAUGAAAUGCCGAUGGCAAGCAUACGAGAUGAGUAGCACAAUUAAUUCGGUGUUGACUGCACCUGAGCGUUCAGGUUGAGACCCGAAAGAUGGUGAACUAUGCCAGGGACGAAAAAAGCCAGAAGAAAUUCUGGUGGAAGUUCAUCGCGGUUUUGACGUGCAAAUCAAUCGCAGAACUUUGGUAUAGGGGCGAAAGACUAAUCGAACCAUCUAGUUGCUGGUUCCCUCCGAAGUUUCCCUCAGGAAAGCUGGCGUGAACGCCUUUGUUUCAUCCUGUAAAGCCAAUGACUGGAGGAAACGGAGCUGACACAACUUUGACCUACUCUCAAACUUAAAAUGGGUGAGCGCUUAUAUGCUACUUUCUUGAGCAAUAAGCUGAAAUAACGCACGCCAAGUGGGCCAUUUUUGGUAAGCAGAACUGGCGCUGCGGGAUGAACCGAACGACGAGCUGUGGCGCCCGACACACGUCUCAAGAGAUACCAUGAAAGGCGUUAGUUGAUAUUGACAGCAGGGCGGUUGCCAUGGAAGUCGGAAUCCGCUAAGGAGUGUGUAACGACUCACCUGCCGAAUCAACUAGCCCUGAAAAUGGAUGGCGCUAUUGACAAAGGCCUAUGCUCGACCAAUGAGAUUCUUUGUGCCUCAAUUCUUUUUGGCACUUGUUGCCAAGAGCCCUCAUUGAGUAGGAGGGCGGACUCGCUAACUCUGAAACGGCGGUGUGAAUCAAUGUGAAGUUGGCGAUCGUGCAGAUCUUAGUGGCAGUAGCGAGUAUUCGGAAAAGUCUUUUGAAGACUGAAGUGGAGAGGGGUUCCAUGUGAACAUAAUUUGAACAUGGUUCAGCCGAUCCUAAGAGUGUGUGAAAUUCUGUGAGAUGACGGGGGACAUUUCGAUGUCCCGCUGUUCGAAAGGGAAUCGGGCUAAGCUUCUCGAGCCAGGAUUCGGAUCUUGGCAUGUUUUCUCGGAGACCUGUCUAAAGCGGUAACGCUCGCAAACCCAGAGAGCUCCAUGCGAUUUUCGGGGAGGAGUUCUCUCUUCUUUGUUAGGUAACAUUGCCCUGAAAUUGAUUUGUUCGGAGACAGGGACGAAUUACCGUAUUGUGACGCGGUUCUCGCGUUGCACCGUGUAUAUCGCGUGGUCCAUGAAAAUCUGGGGGCGUAAACAUAUGUCCUGUUCCUGAUCGUACCUCAAUCCGCAUCAGGUCUCCAAGGUGCAUAGCCUGUAGUGGACGGGAUAAAGUAGGCAAGGGAAGUCGGCAAAUUGGAUCCGUACCCUUGGAAAAAGGAUUGGCUGUGAAGACUGAGCUGAUCGAGCUAAUGUUAAGAGGAGUCGAAACGGUUGGGGACUGGUCGAAGGUCCGCCUCUUCGGAGGAUGGCCAGAGAUCGGAUCCCGAUAUUUUUCGUCUUGCUGGCGACUUCAGCUUAUGGUUGCAUGGUACGUAUGUACGGUGCAGACAAUACGGUCGGCUGCGCACAGUCGCAUCAGAACUGGUACGGACAAGGGGAAUCCGACUGUUUAAUUAAAACAAAGCAUUGCGAUAGCCAUCACUGGUGUUGACGCAAUGUGAUUUCUGCCCAGUGCUCAGAAUGUUAACGUGGCGAAAUCUGAACAAGCGCGGGUAAACGGCGGGAGUAACUAUGACUCUCUCGAGGUAGCCAAAUGCCUCGUCAUCUAAUUAGUGACGCGCAUGAAUGGAUCAAUGAGAUUCCCACUGUCCCUGUCUGCAACCCGGCGAAACAACAGCCAAGGGAACGGGCUUGGAACAGGACAGCGGGGAAAGAAGACCCUGUUGAGCUUGACUCUAGUUGGUCUCUGUGAAGAAACGUGAGAGAUGUAGGAUACGUGGGACCCUUGGGGUCUGUGAAAUACCACUGCUUUCAUUGUUACUUCACUCACUCGAUGGUAUUGUUGGCGAUGAUGCUGUUCGUCAGAAAUGUACUUCUUGGUUUGGUGAAUAAGACAGCAACUAUUCGAGAACGUUGACAGAUUGGGAGUUUGACUGGGGCGGUACGCCUGUUAAAAUCUAACGCAGGUGUCCAAAGGUGAUCUCGGCGAGAACGGAAGCCUCGCUUAGCGCGAAAGGGCAAAAGAUUGCUUGAUCUUGAUCUCCAGUUGGGAUAUGGACGAUGAAAGUUUGGCCUAUCGAUCCUUUUCAGUUUUACGGGAUUUGAGCAAGAGGUGUCAGAAAAGUUACCACAGGGAUAACUG